Molecule: ribosomal RNA, 476 nt
Filed under: Veillonella dispar
Lineage: Bacteria; Bacillati; Bacillota; Negativicutes; Veillonellales; Veillonellaceae
Description: bacterial SSU rRNA
Rfam family: Bacterial small subunit ribosomal RNA
Source: RNAcentral
GACGAACGCUGGCGGCGUGCUUAACACAUGCAAGUCGAACGAAGAGCGAUGGAAGCUUGCUUCUAUCAAUCUUAGUGGCGAACGGGUGAGUAACGCGUAAUCAACCUGCCCUUCAGAGGGGGACAACAGUUGGAAACGACUGCUAAUACCGCAUACGAUCUAAUCUCGGCAUCGAGGAUAGAUGAAAGGUGGCCUCUAUUUAUAAGCUAUCACUGAGGGAGGGGAUUGCGUCUGAUUAGCUAGUUGGAGGGGUAACGGCCCACCAAGGCGAUGAUCAGUAGCCGGUCUGAGAGGAUGAACGGCCACAUUGGGACUGAGACACGGCCCAGACUCCUACGGGAGGCAGCAGUGGGGAAUCUUCCGCAAUGGACGAAAGUCUGACGGAGCAACGCCGCGUGAGUGAUGACGGCCUUCGGGUUGUAAAGCUCUGUUAAUCGGGACGAAAGGCCUUCUUGCGAAUAGUUAGAAGGAUGACG